RNAcentral lists this ribosomal RNA (503 nucleotides) under uncultured bacterium. RNAcentral describes it as "partial 16S ribosomal RNA". It matches the Rfam family "Bacterial small subunit ribosomal RNA", at positions 30 to 523 of the family's 1533-position model. The record is from RNAcentral.
AUUGAACGCUGGCGGCAGGCUUAACACAUGCAAGUCGAGCGGGGGAAGGUAGCUUGCUACCGGACCUAGCGGCGGACGGGUGAGUAAUGCUUAGGAAUCUGCCUAUUAGUGGGGGACAACAUCUCGAAAGGGAUGCUAAUACCGCAUACGUCCUACGGGAGAAAGCAGGGGAUCACUUGUGACCUUGCGCUAAUAGAUUAGCCUACGUCGGAUUAGCUAGUUGGUGGGGUAAAGGCCUACCAAGGCGACGAUCUGUAGCGGGUCUGAGAGGAUGAUCCGCCACACUGGGACUGAGACACGGCCCAGACUCCUACGGGAGGCAGCAGUGGGGAAUAUUGGACAAUGGGGGGAACCCUGAUCCAGCCAUGCCGCGUGUGUGAAGAAGGCCUUGUGGUUGUAAAGCACUUUAAGCGAGGAGGAGGCUCUUUUGGUUAAUACCCAAGAUGAGUGGACGUUACUCGCAGAAUAAGCACCGGCUAACUCUGUGCCAGCCGCCGCAGUAA